UCUCCGUUGGUGAACCAGCGGAGGGAUCAUUACCGAGUUAUCAACUCCCAAACCCCUGUGAACAUACCCAACGUUGCUUCGGCGGGACCGCCCCGGCGCCCUCGGCGUCCCGGAACCAGGCGCCCGCCGGAGGACCCAAACUCUUGUUUAAACCAUAGUGGCAUAUUCUGAGUCUCACAGGAAAAAUGAAUCAAGACUUUCAACAACGGAUCUCUUGGCUCUGGCAUCGAUGAAGUACGCAGC
RNAcentral lists this unclassified non-coding RNA (243 nucleotides) under plant metagenome. RNAcentral describes it as "partial contains small subunit ribosomal RNA, internal transcribed spacer 1, and 5.8S ribosomal RNA". The stretch from base 195 to 243 matches the Rfam family "5.8S ribosomal RNA", at positions 1 to 49 of the family's 154-position model. The record is from RNAcentral.